UACAGAGGGUGCGAGCGUUGUCCGGAAUCACUGGGCGUAAAGGGCGCGUAGGCGGCCUGGUAAGUAGGGGGUGAAAUCCCGCGGCUCAACCGCGGGGCUGCCUCCUAGACUGCCGGGCUCGAGCAGAGCAGAGGCUAGCGGAAUUCCCGGUGUAGCGGUGGAAUGCGUAGAGAUCGGGAAGAACACCUGUGGCGAAAGCGGCGCACUGGACCACAACUGACGCUGAGGCGCGAAAGCUAGGGGAGCAAACAGG
This 253-nucleotide ribosomal RNA is filed under the name uncultured bacterium. Its description in RNAcentral is "partial 16S ribosomal RNA". It matches the Rfam family "Bacterial small subunit ribosomal RNA", at positions 524 to 776 of the family's 1533-position model. The record is from RNAcentral.